GACGAACGCUGGCGGCGUGCUUAACACAUGCAAGUCGAACGGAGAAUUUAUUUCGGUAAAUUCUUAGUGGCGAACGGGUGAGUAACGCGUGGGCAACCUGCCCUUCAGAUGGGGACAACAUCCCGAAAGGGGUGCUAAUACCGAAUACGAUCACGCUGCCGCAUGGCGGUGUGAUGAAAGAUGGCCUCUAUUUAUAAACUAUCGCUGAAGGAUGGGCCUGCGUCUGAUUAGCUAGUUGGUGGGGUAACGGCCUACCAAGGCGAUGAUCAGUAGCCGGUCUGAGAGGAUGAACGGCAACAUUGGGAAUGAGACACGGCCCAAACUCCUACGGGAGGUAGCAGUGGGGAAUAUUCCGCAAUGGACGAAAGUCUGACGGAGCAACGCCGCGUGAGUGAUGAAGGUUUUCGGACUGUAAAACUCUGUUGUUUAGGACGAAAGUGCCUGUUGCAAAUAGUUGCAGGUAUUGACGGUACUGAACGAGGAAGCCACGGCUAACUACGUGCCAGCCGCCGCAGUAA
RNAcentral lists this ribosomal RNA (518 nucleotides) under uncultured bacterium. RNAcentral describes it as "partial 16S ribosomal RNA". It matches the Rfam family "Bacterial small subunit ribosomal RNA", at positions 28 to 523 of the family's 1533-position model. The record is from RNAcentral.